GAUGAACGCUAGCGGCAGGCUUAACACAUGCAAGUCGAGGGGCAGCAGUUUGGUAGCAAUACUAGAUGAUGGCGACCGGCGGAUGGGUGAGUAACGCGUAUGUAACCUACGUAUAACAGGGGGAUAGCCGUUUGAAAAGACGAGUAAACCGCCAUAAUGUACUGAAUAGGCAUCUAUUUAGUAAGAAAAGAGAGAUCUAGUUAUAGAUGGGCAUGCGUAUGAUUAGCUAGUUGGUGUAGUAGAGGUGCACCAAGGCGACGAUCAUUAGGGGUUCUGAGAGGAAGGUCCCCCACAUUGGAACUGAGAACGGUCCAAACUCCUACGGGAGGCAGCAGUGAGGAAUAUUGGGCAAUGGGGGAAACCCUGACCCAGCGACGCCGCGUGGGUGAAGAAAUCCUUCGGGAUGUAAAGCCCUGUUGUAUGGGAAGAGCGGAAGACGGUACCAUACGAGGAAGCCCCGGACAAACUACGUGCCAGCAGCCGCGGUAAACGUCUACUG
This 499-nucleotide ribosomal RNA is filed under the name uncultured bacterium. Its description in RNAcentral is "bacterial SSU rRNA". It matches the Rfam family "Bacterial small subunit ribosomal RNA", at positions 28 to 531 of the family's 1533-position model. The record is from RNAcentral.